This 660-nucleotide unclassified non-coding RNA is filed under the name uncultured bacterium. RNAcentral describes it as "partial contains 16S ribosomal RNA, 16S-23S ribosomal RNA intergenic spacer, and 23S ribosomal RNA". The stretch from base 547 to 660 matches the Rfam family "Bacterial large subunit ribosomal RNA", at positions 1 to 113 of the family's 2925-position model. The record is from RNAcentral.
UCUCGGAAAUGCUUCAAGUCGCAGUACCCACAACCUAUCGGUUGCAGCGCGUGAGAUGUUUUCACCGCAGCAGCAGUACGCCGGACAACGGGCCUGUAGCUCAGUUGGUUAGAGCACCGUCUUGAUAAGGCGGGGGUCGAUGGUUCGAAUCCAUCCAGACCCACCAGGGCAGUAAGCGGCACCCGAAGCGUGCGACUUGCGAGAAGCGAGCUUAUCGCAAGGCGAAGGGGCUGUAGCUCAAUUGGGAGAGCGCCUGCUUUGCAAGCAGGAGGUCGUCGGUUCGAUCCCGUCCAGCUCCACCAGUUCGACGAGUAACUAUCGGUUGCACAACGCACAGCGUUCAACUCUGGGCUUCUGCCUGGAGCUCAAAGUUGAAAGCUGUACUGUUCUUUAACAAUUCGGAAGGCAAGGGUUCAUCUGGACUUGAUGAGAGUCUGGGUGGACAUAGGGUUGAGUUGUAUCUUGUCUGCACGCUGAAUAAAAAGGCGGCGUGCGGAUGGCGCAAACACGCCGUAACGGUGAACUCGCAAGGGCUCACAGUUAUGGGGUCAAGUGACUAAGUGCAUGUGGUGGAUGCCUUGGCGAUUACAGGCGAUGAAGGACGUGGCAGCCUGCGAAAAGCUGCGGGGAGCUGGCAAAGCAGCUUUGAUCCGCAGAUAU